AUACGGAGGGUGCAAGCGUUGUUCGGAAUUAUUGGGCGUAAAGCGCGUGUAGGCGGUUUGUUAAGUCUGGUGUGAAAGCCCUGGGCUCAACCUGGGAAGUGCAUUGGAUACUGGCAAACUUGAGUACGGGAGAGGAUAGUGGAAUUUCGAGUGUAGGGGUGAAAUCCGUAGAUAUUCGAAGGAACACCGGUGGCGAAGGCGGCUAUCUGGACCGAUACUGACGCUGAGACGCGAAAGCGUGGGGAGC
RNAcentral lists this ribosomal RNA (247 nucleotides) under uncultured bacterium. RNAcentral describes it as "partial 16S ribosomal RNA". It matches the Rfam family "Bacterial small subunit ribosomal RNA", at positions 523 to 769 of the family's 1533-position model. The record is from RNAcentral.